Molecule: long non-coding RNA, 382 nt
Organism: Gambusia affinis (western mosquitofish)
Lineage: Eukaryota; Metazoa; Chordata; Actinopteri; Cyprinodontiformes; Poeciliidae
Exons: 2
Source: RefSeq, a predicted model, not a curated record
AAGAGCCAGUUAAUGGGGAGUUCAUAUAGAAUAAUAAUUUAGAUUAAAAAUGUAUAAAUAUGCUUAAUUUACUUUUAAGAAAUUCAUGAUGAGUAUAUUUUCUAGAAUGUAUAACUUAGUUAAUAUAAAAAGAUGCUUUUAUUGUGAAAAGUAAUUUUGGCUUCUACUACGUAAUUAAUAUUGCCCGUUUGAGUUCAGAUUGCAGUUGGAUACGGUGGAAGCAGCACAAUUUUUUGACCGAUCUGUACCGAGCCUUUCAUUUUUUCUAUUGCAGUUGGAUACGGUGGAAGCAGCACAAUUUUUUGACCGAUCUGUACCGAGCCUUUCAUUUUUUCUGUAAGUGUACUUUUUUGAGUUCUUUAAGUAAACCUCAUAAAGAAGA